This 218-nucleotide ribosomal RNA is filed under the name uncultured bacterium. RNAcentral's name for it is "partial 16S ribosomal RNA". It matches the Rfam family "Bacterial small subunit ribosomal RNA", at positions 1283 to 1500 of the family's 1533-position model. The record is from RNAcentral.
CAAUCUCAGUUCAGAUUGCAGGCUGCAACUCGCCUGCAUGAAGUCGGAAUUGCUAGUAAUCGUAGGUCAGCAUACUACGGUGAAUACGUUCCCGGGCCUUGUACACACCGCCCGUCAAACCAUGAGAGUUGGCAACACCCGAAGUCGGUAGUCUAACCGCAAGGAGGACGCCGCCGAAGGUGGGGUUGAUGAUUAGGGUUAAGUCGUAACAAGGUAGC